UGGGGAAUAUUGCACAAUGGGCGCAAGCCUGAUGCAGCAACGCCGCGUGAACGUUGAAGGUCUUCGGACCGUAAGGUUCUGUUGCAGGGGAAGAUAAUGACGGUACCCUGUGAGGAAGCCCCGGCUAACUACGUGCCAGCAGCCGCGGUAAUACGUAGGGGGCUAGCGUUAUCCGGAAUUAUUGGGCGUAAAGGGUACGUAGGCGGUUUUUUAAGUCAGGUGUCAAAGCGUGGAGCUUAACUCCAUUAAGCACUUGAAACUGAAAGACUUGAGUGAGGGGGAGAAAAGUGGAAUUCCUAGUGUAGCGGUGAAAUGCGUAGAUAUUAGGAGGAGUACCGGUGGCGAAGGCGACUUUCUGGACUUUUACUGACGCUCAGGUACGAAAGCGUGGGGAGCAAACAGG
RNAcentral lists this ribosomal RNA (403 nucleotides) under Verrucomicrobiota bacterium. RNAcentral's name for it is "Verrucomicrobia bacterium partial 16S ribosomal RNA". It matches the Rfam family "Bacterial small subunit ribosomal RNA", at positions 355 to 776 of the family's 1533-position model. The record is from RNAcentral. Lineage: Bacteria; Pseudomonadati; Verrucomicrobiota.